GAUGAUGCAGCAGAUGGUCUCAAUAGAAUUCAAGACCUUUCAAUCACACCAACCCCAUGCUCAGCAUUUGAUAACAACAAAAACUUUGAAACUCUUAAAGCUUUACCAGACUGUGUGCAGCUGCAGCCAACAGAAGACUUGAAUAUGACAGUAGAUCCUCGCUUACGGCCAUUUCCUCCAGAUCCCUCUAGCGAACAAUCCAUGCAAAUUUACCAGCAGCAUGAAGAAUUAAUGGAAAAUACCUGCAAAUACAGAUGCAAAUCGCUCAAAAAACUAAUUUUUGAAGCAGCUAGAAGGAAAUUUAAAAGAAACUGAGCCAACAAAUGACCAAGAGAUGGAAGUAGAGCUCCAAAAAUUAGAACGAGAAAAAGGAAGUUUGAUCAAGCUGAUAGCAAAUCUAAAGCAACAGCUCGACAUGAUCCGAAAAGCGCGUAAAGGAGAUGCUGAUACCUGGGUGUAUGUAGAAAGAGCGCAAUCUUCUAACCCACCAAAUAAUUCUGAGCCUAGAAAGACAAGUACAUUCUUACAUUAUUGGAAUGUUCUUUUCUCCUCCUCAAGUGAGAAUUUUUUUCAGUAUGUCAGUUACCUGAAGAUCCUCACUUCAAUUGAUCUGUGAUUUGAAUCGGGAAUAUUUUAAUGUCGGUGAAUUGGAUUUUGGUCGUGAUCAUGGCAUCCGGAAUCAGGAUGAAAUAUCUGGGCAUUGGGACUCAUCAGGGAACAAAAAAUUACUGGAAAAGAAGAAGUUGGAGUUAAAAUAAGAGUUUUUUCCUGCUCUUCUCCAAGACCAGUUUGUCUUGAAAUUCAGAAAUCUUUUUAAUUUCAUGCUAAAAAAUUAGUUCAGAGAUGAAAAUAUCAUAAUUUCCUUACUGAAUCUGAACGGAAGUUUAAAUUUUCCCAAGGAAAUGCGGGGGAAAAAGGGUUCUUAUCAGGGAUUUUGGGUCUUAAAUCAAGUGAAAUCAGGGAAUGAGAAAAUCCAAGAACUCAAGACGCCAUGGUCAGAUUUUUACAUAAAACUUCGAUAUAAGCAGUGAAAAUCUGUAAUAAAAAAACGCUAUCAGGUAUUAUAAAAAUAUAGAUAUAGAUCUCUGAAUGAUCACGUAAUAAUCCUAAUAUGUAGAGUAUAUGAAAAGUACUUAAGUAUACUUAGUACUGGUUCCAUAAUCUCGGUGGAAAUCGAGGUUGGACAGCCUGACGUCUUCCUCGUGCUGGAAUUCCUCGGACGUAAACCCAGUCGAAGUACUUGGUGAUUGCUAUGAGUUCAUCUGGCAGCUCUGACUCAAGUAAGUCGAGGGCUUCCUGCAAGUCAUCAGUUGGAACAAUCGCUAACCCAAGGAUACUGUGGACGUCAACCCUUUUCCUAUUCCAGAUUCGUUUACAAAAUGUGCAUCCAAUAUGCACUUCAAAGUAAAAUUUAAAUUUGAAAUGCAUUAAAC
This 1433-nucleotide long non-coding RNA is filed under the name Bemisia tabaci. RNAcentral describes it as "lncRNA ENSSSA1NGG008038". The record is from RNAcentral. Lineage: Eukaryota; Metazoa; Arthropoda; Insecta; Hemiptera; Aleyrodidae.